RNAcentral lists this ribosomal RNA (371 nucleotides) under uncultured fungus. RNAcentral describes it as "eukaryotic LSU rRNA". The stretch from base 1 to 71 matches the Rfam family "5.8S ribosomal RNA", at positions 84 to 154 of the family's 154-position model. Lineage: Eukaryota; Fungi. The record is from RNAcentral.
GUGAGUCAUCGAGUCUUUGAACGCAUAUUGCGCUCUUUGGUAUUCCGAAGAGCAUGCUUGUUUGAGUAUCAGUAAACACCUCAACCUCCUCUUGUUUUUUCAAAAGGAGGGUGGACUUGAGCAAUCCCCAACUGUCGAAAGAGAGGAGGGUUGCUUGAAAUGCAGGUGCAGCUAGACAUUCUUCUGAGCUAAAAGCAUAUUUAUUUAGUCCCGUCAAACGGAUUAUUACUUUUGCUCUAGCUAAUAUAAAGGUCGAAUGCGCUACAUGGUGUGACUGAUGCAGGAUUAACAAGAGCCGCAAGGUUUUUGUAAACUCGAUCUCAAAUCAAGUAAGACUACCCGCUGAACUUAAGCAUAUCAAUAAGGCGAGG